Molecule: ribosomal RNA, 253 nt
Filed under: uncultured bacterium
Lineage: Bacteria
Description: partial 16S ribosomal RNA
Rfam family: Bacterial small subunit ribosomal RNA
Source: RNAcentral
UACAGAGACUGCAAGCGUUAUUCGGAUUCACUGGGCGUAAAGGGUGCGCAGGCGGCCGUAUGUGUGAGGCGUGAAAGCCCGGGGCUUAACCCCGGAAUUGCACCUCAAACUAUACGGCUAGAGCAUUGGAGAGGGUAGCAGAAUUCAUGUUGUAGCAGUGAAAUGCGUAGAUAUCAUGAGGAAUACCAGAGGCGAAGGCGGCUACCUGGACAAUUGCUGACGCUCAGGCACGAAAGCGUGGGGAGCAAAAGGG